This 493-nucleotide ribosomal RNA is filed under the name uncultured bacterium. Its description in RNAcentral is "partial 16S ribosomal RNA". It matches the Rfam family "Bacterial small subunit ribosomal RNA", at positions 29 to 523 of the family's 1533-position model. The record is from RNAcentral.
AUUGAACGCUGGCGGCAUGCUUUACACAUGCAAGUCGAACGGUAACAGGUUAAGCUGACGAGUGGCGAACGGGUGAGUAAUGCAUCGGAACGUGCCCGAUCGUGGGGGAUAACGCAGCGAAAGCUGCGCUAAUACCGCAUACGAUCUGAGGAUGAAAGCGGGGGACCGUAAGGCCUCGCGCGAUCGGAGCGGCCGAUGUCAGAUUAGGUAGUUGGUGGGGUAAAGGCCCACCAAGCCGACGAUCUGUAGCCGGUCUGAGAGGACGACCAGCCACACUGGGACUGAGACACGGCCCAGACUCCGACGGGAGGCAGCAGUGGGGAAUUUUGGACAAUGGGCGAAAGCCUGAUCCAGCAAUGCCGCGUGCAGGAAGAAGGCCUUCGGGUUGUAAACUGCUUUUGUACGGAGCGAAAAGGUCCUUUCUAAUACAAGGGGCUCAUGACGGUACCGUAAGAAUAAGCACCGGCUAACUACGUGCCAGCCGCCGCGGUAA